GCCUGGAUGGCUCAGUUGGUUGAGCAUCUGACUCUUAAUUUGAGCUGGUCUUGAUCUCAGAGUUGUGAGUUCAAGCCCCACACUGGGCU
RNAcentral lists this transfer RNA (89 nucleotides) under Canis lupus familiaris (dog). It matches the Rfam family "tRNA". Rfam says of the family: Transfer RNA (tRNA) molecules are approximately 80 nucleotides in length. RNAcentral also lists the same sequence under 2 other names. Lineage: Eukaryota; Metazoa; Chordata; Mammalia; Carnivora; Canidae. The record is from Rfam by way of RNAcentral.